AACGAACGCUGGCAGCGUGGUUAAGGCAUGCAAGUCGAACGGACAUACUUUGAGGGCAACUGAGAGGUAUGUUAGUGGCGGACGGGUGAGGAAUACAUGGAUAACGUACCCCAAUCUCGGGAAUAGCGGCGUCCGCCGAAAGGCGGGCUUUGCGAAAGUGCCGGUAAUACUCGAUGACCCCGCGGAAUCGCAUGGUUCUGCGGGCAAAGCUCCGACGGUUUGGGAUCGGUUCAUGCCUAUCAGCUAGUUGGUGAGGUAACGGCUCACCAAGGCAUCGACGGGUAGCGGGCGUGAGAGCGUGGCCCGCCACAUCGGGACUGAGACACGGCCCGGACACCUACGGGUGGCUGCAGCAACGAAUCUUCCGCAAUGGGCGCAAGCCUGACGGAGCGACGCUGCGUG
Molecule: ribosomal RNA, 402 nt
Filed under: uncultured bacterium
Lineage: Bacteria
Description: bacterial SSU rRNA
Rfam family: Bacterial small subunit ribosomal RNA
Source: RNAcentral